GGGGGUGUGGCUCAGUGGUAGAGUGCUUGCCUGGCAUGCAAGUAACCCUGGGUUAGAUUCCUAGCAUCCCCC
This is a non-coding RNA of Marmota flaviventris (yellow-bellied marmot), 72 nucleotides long. The record is from the annotation of a RefSeq genome assembly. NCBI's taxonomy places the organism in Eukaryota, Metazoa, Chordata, Mammalia, Rodentia, Sciuridae.